Molecule: transfer RNA, 85 nt
Filed under: Spirochaetales bacterium
Lineage: Bacteria; Pseudomonadati; Spirochaetota; Spirochaetia; Spirochaetales
Also listed under: 1 other name
Description: tRNA-Ser
Rfam family: tRNA
About the family: Transfer RNA (tRNA) molecules are approximately 80 nucleotides in length.
Source: RNAcentral
GGAGAGGUGUCCGAGCGGUUUAAGGAGGCGGUCUUGAAAACCGUUGACGUGCGAGCGUCCGUGGGUUCGAAUCCCACCUUCUCCG